CUCCCUGCUUCUAGCCCUCUUUUAGGUUCGUCACCCUUUUGAGGUCAGAACCCAUAUUUCUGUUACACGAAUGGUGUCAGACAAUGAGGUGCCUAAUUCCUUGGUCAGGUUUUUUGUUUGUAUUAAAAGUUUCUUGCCUGACCUUCAUGCCUAGUUAGGCUUCCAAUAAUUCUACUAGAUGAGAUUUAUUAUCUAUAUUUCCUUACCCAGUACUUUAAAAUGUAUAGAUCAUAUUUCUGCAAUCUUCUUGGAGCUAUAGUUCUAAACAGACAAGAAAGAAGCAUGUGGCUCAGCUUGACUCAAAAUGCAGUUUCAAAGGAGUGAUGACGUACAUUGUUUCCGCAAAAGGCAGGUGAAAGACCAGAAUAAGAAGGUAGCGAAUCUGAAGCACAAGGAGCAGGUGGAGAAGAAGAAAAGUGCGCAGAUGCUGGAGGAGGCCCGGAGGAGGGAGGACAGUCUCAGCGACAGCUCUCAGCAGCUGCAGGACAGUCUCCGUAAGAAGGAUGACAGGAUUGAAGAGCUGGAAGAAGCACUGAGAGAAAGUGUACAGAUAACUGCAGAGCGGGAAAUGGUGCUGGCACAAGAGGAAUCAGCCAGGAC
RNAcentral lists this long non-coding RNA (600 nucleotides) under Rattus norvegicus (Norway rat). RNAcentral's name for it is "long non-coding RNA NONRATT021786". The record is from RNAcentral. Lineage: Eukaryota; Metazoa; Chordata; Mammalia; Rodentia; Muridae.